Molecule: RNA transcript, 1873 nt
Organism: Andrographis paniculata
Lineage: Eukaryota; Viridiplantae; Streptophyta; Magnoliopsida; Lamiales; Acanthaceae
Exons: 2
Source: RefSeq, a predicted model, not a curated record
UGGGCCUACGAGGCCGGAGCUCGUGUUUAUAUAUGACGGGUCUGACUCGAUUUGUUUUAAGCCCGACUAUAAAAUGCGAUAAUUCCAAUGGAUCCUUCAUGCUCGAGUGGAGCCUCGUCAGAUUUCAAGUUCUCGGCUGGUAGUCGGGGGAUGCAAAGCUGCUGUACCUGGUUUUCCUUGUUCGACCAGCCUUCCGGUGGAAGGUUGGCUGGCUUUGUCUAUGUGUAGUUAUUGGGAAUUCAUCUUCCAGCAGGGUAUGAUCUUAAUCAAGUAAGUUUCAGGCGCAAAGCGCGACAUAGAUUCUUUGGCAGGUUCCUCUCCCUCUAUUAUGCACGCUUGCUUUUUUGUCUUCUAUUGUCUACGUCAUUGAAUUUUAAGAAGUUUACGGUUGGUUGCCGUUGUCUCUGUGUAGUUAUUAUUUCUUUAUAUUCCAGUAUGGAAUGAAUCUUAAUCAAGUGUCAGGCGCAAAGCGGCACAUAGAUUCUUUGGCAGGUUCCUCUCUCUAUACACACUUGCUUUUCUUGUCUUCCAUUCUCUACGUCAUUGAAUAAUAAAAAGUUUACGGUUGGGUGGUAUUGUCUGCGUGUAGUUAUUGGUUAUUUUAUCUUUACAAAUUUAUAAUCAACUGGUUCACAAUAGGAGAUGAAUCUUAGUCAAGUGUGUGUCAGUCACAGAUGUAAAUUUCACAAAAAAAAGGUAAAUAGCCAAUAACUACAUACAAACAACACCAACCAACGGUAACUUUUCAUAUUCAGUUUCGCAUAGAUUCCUUGGCAGGUUGCUCUUUCUCCCCCGACACACAUGCACACACUUGCAUGCUUAUGUCUAUAUUUGCACAUACGUGUAGACAGAUACCUUGAAGUAUAGUAAAUGCUUUUCUUUCUUUACUUCUAUCUUAUAGUAUUUUUUAUUUUUCAUGCUUCCUGAAUAUAUGAGCAAUUUCUGUUUCUGUUCUUCUUGCCGCAAAAUUGUAUGUCAAUUUACCAUUUAUACACUGAUUUUAGGAUCUCCCCACCCCAUAACUUGAAAUGCAUCUUUUCUAUUUCUAUUUCUUUUUCUGCAGAACAUGUUCUGAAUAGCUCAAGUAUCUGAUGACUGCAUCAUCAAUUUAUGUAACUAAUGUAAGUGUGAAUUCUAAGUAUUGUGUGGAAUUCAGUUUUUUCUAAGCUGUUAUUGUGUAUUUUUCUGAGGUCCCUUCAACUAUUUAUUGAUGAGUUCUUUUAAUUCAUUGUUUCCUUUUUACCAGGCCAUGUUUACUACAUAGGAUUAAACCAAUUUAACACAGAUUGUUUAAUCACUGACAGCAAACAUGGCCCAAAAGUGACAGAGUUUGGAGCUUUGGAAAAAAUUAAUCUAAAUGAAUGUUAUGUGUAUAUUUAGAUUAUAUGUAUAUAUUGUUUGCCUUAUUCUAAAUUAAUGUUUGUAUAUAGCAUAUGUUAUGUGUUUGUUUGUUUGUUUUAUCCUCAGUGAGAUUUUUACUACAUUCACUGCUCAAAUCAACUUUGACAGACUGGGGAGCAGAGCAGUCAAUAUGUAUACAUAUACAGCUUGAUGGAGGAAAUGUAUUUAAUUAAUAAAUAUAUGGAUGUAUGCGUGUGUGUGUGUGUGUAAGGUAUUGGUUAUUUAUGGGUGUGGCAGGCAGGGAAUGAGAUCAUGCGGUGAGUAUUUGGAUGUCGUCAUGUUCAUGUAUGUGUGUAGAGAGAGAGAGAGUGAGAGAGUUAGCGGUUACAACGCCAGUCGGUUCUUCUCUCUCUCUCUCUCCCUUUUUAUUUUUUAUUAUUUUUUAAAUUAUUUCAGCUUCAGGAGUAACUAGUUUGGUGGCGGCUAGGAUAAUUGUUGAUAAUUAGAGAAUAAUGAUUAUGAUACCUACAUU